GGCAAGACGGAAAGACCCCGUGAACCUUUACUAUAGCUUGACACUGAACAUUGAGCCUUGAUGUGUAGGAUAGGUGGGAGGCUUUGAAGCGUGGACGCCAGUCUGCGUGGAGCCGACCUUGAAAUACCACCCUUUAAUGUUUGAUGUUCUAACGUGGAUCCGUAAUCCGGGUUGCGGACAGUGUCUGGUGGGUAGUUUGACUGGGGCGGUCUCCUCCUAAAGAGUAACGGAGGAGCACGAAGGUUGGCUAAUCCUGGUCGGACAUCAGGAGGUUAGUGCAAUGGCAUAAGCCAGCUUGACUGCGAGCGUGACGGCGCGAGCAGGUGCGAAAGCAGGUCAUAGUGAUCCGGUGGUUCUGAAUGGAAGGGCCAUCGCUCAACGGAUAAAAGGUACUCCGGGGAUAACAGGCUGAUACCGCCCAAGAGUUCAUAUCGACGGCGGUGUUUGGCACCUCGAUGUCGGCUCAUCACAUCCUGGGGCUGAAGUAGGUCCCAAGGGUAUGGCUGUUCGCCAUUUAAAGUGGUACGCGAGCUGGGUUUAGAACGUCGUGAGACAGUUCGGUCCCUAUCUGCCGUGGGCGCUGGAGAACUGAGGGGGGCUGCUCCUAGUACGAGAGGACCGGAGUGGACGCAUCACUGGUGUUCGGGUUGUCAUGCCAAUGGCACUGCCCGGUAGCUAAAUGCGGAAGAGAUAAGUGCUGAAAGCAUCUAAGCACGAAACUUGCCCCGAGAUGAGUUCUCCCUGAGACUUAGAGUCUCCUGAAGGAACGUUGAAGACGACGACGUUGAUAGGCCGGGUGUGUAAGCGCAGCGAUGCGUUGAGCUAACCGGUACUAAUGAACCGUGAGGCUUAACCUU
This 857-nucleotide ribosomal RNA is filed under the name Salmonella enterica subsp. enterica serovar Infantis. RNAcentral's name for it is "partial 23S ribosomal RNA". It matches the Rfam family "Bacterial large subunit ribosomal RNA", at positions 2074 to 2925 of the family's 2925-position model. The record is from RNAcentral. Lineage: Bacteria; Pseudomonadati; Pseudomonadota; Gammaproteobacteria; Enterobacterales; Enterobacteriaceae.